GAUGAACGCUGGCGGCGUGCCUAAUACAUGCAAGUCGAGCGAACAGACGAGGAGCUUGCUCCUCUGACGUUAGCGGCGGACGGGUGAGUAACACGUGGAUAACCUACCUAUAAGACUGGGAUAACUUCGGGAAACCGGAGCUAAUACCGGAUAAUAUAUUGAACCGCAUGGUUCAAUAGUGAAAGACGGUUUUGCUGUCACUUAUAGAUGGAUCCGCGCCGCAUUAGCUAGUUGGUAAGGUAACGGCUUACCAAGGCGACGAUGCGUAGCCGACCUGAGAGGGUGAUCGGCCACACUGGAACUGAGACACGGUCCAGACUCCUACGGGAGGCAGCAGUAGGGAAUCUUCCGCAAAGGGCGAAAGCCUGACGGAGCAACGCCGCGUGAGUGAUGAAGGUCUUCGGAUCGUAAAACUCUGUUAUUAGGGAGGAACAAAUGUGUAAGUAACUAUGCACGUCUUGACGGUACCUAAUCAGAAAGCCACGGCUAACUACGUG
RNAcentral lists this ribosomal RNA (497 nucleotides) under uncultured bacterium. RNAcentral describes it as "partial 16S ribosomal RNA". It matches the Rfam family "Bacterial small subunit ribosomal RNA", at positions 28 to 507 of the family's 1533-position model. The record is from RNAcentral.